GGAGGGUGCAAGCGUUAUCCGGAUUCACUGGGUUUAAAGGGUGCGUAGGUGGGUUGGUAAGUCAGUGGUGAAAUCCCCGAGCUUAACUUGGGAACUGCCAUUGAUACUAUCAGCCUUGAAUACCGUGGAGGUCAGCGGAAUAUGUCAUGUAGCGGUGAAAUGCUUAGAUAUGACAUAGAACACCAAUUGCGAAGGCAGCUGGCUACACGAAUAUUGACACUGAGGCACGAAAGCGUGGGGAUCAAACAGGAUUAGAUACCCUGGUAGUCCACGCCCUAAACUAUGGAUACUCGACAUACGCGAUACACUGUGUGUGUCUGAGCGAAAGCAUUAAGUAUCCCACCUGGGAAGUACGAUCGCAAGAUUG
Molecule: ribosomal RNA, 367 nt
Filed under: uncultured bacterium
Lineage: Bacteria
Description: bacterial SSU rRNA
Rfam family: Bacterial small subunit ribosomal RNA
Source: RNAcentral